CACCUUCUUUCAAUCUGCCAGAAUAGCAGUACCCUGCAUCUGUUCAAAUAUAUUCCCGCCAAAAUCUUUUUUUUAAGAACCCCAAAAUGGAGUGAGGGAUGGAAUAGCCCGUCCGCUCAUUAUUUUGUCCACCAUUUAGGCCUAAUUUCUGACAAAUUUUGUUUCACUGAUUUCUGAUCCCACACUUCUCUUGUUUACCAGGCAUGAUCUUAACACAGUCUUUGAGUUCUAUCAGGAGACAUUUUUGUUUGGACUAAUUCAGUCUGUCUCCCUCCCCUUUUCACCCUUUCCCCUCCACAUUCAUUGUUAUAGCUUAUUGUGACAUUUUGUGAGCUGUCACUCCUGUCUCACAGCUGAGCUCAUAAUUAGGGUAAAUUUGCAGGACCAAUUACUACAACAACACCCCAAAACAGAGAGACACAACGCUGGCUCAGGGUCUAACUGAUCACCAUAUUUGGGGUCAGGAAGGACUUUUCCCCUGGGUCAGAUUGGCAGAGACCCAGGGAUUUUUUUGUUUUUUGGUGGGUUUUUUCCCUUUCCUCUGCAGCAUGGGGCAUGGGUCACUUGCAGGUUUAAACUAGUGUAAAUGGCGGAGUCUUUGUGACCUGAACUCUUUAAAAUCAUGAUCUGAGGACUUCAGUGACUCAGCCAGAGGUUCUGGGUCUGUUACAGGGGUGGGUGGGCGAGGCUCUGUGGCCUGUGAUGUGCAGGAGGUCAGACGAGAUGAUCCCGAUGGUCCCUUCUGGCCGUAAAGUCUGUGAGUUUAAGGCAGAGCAGCAGAACUCUUCCCCUCCUUGUCUAGGCCGGCUCUUUGCACACUGGCUGCUGGAGAUGUAAACAGCGAAGGGACAAAAUUUGCAGAUGUUACAAAAUUACUCAAGAGAGUUAAGUCCAAAGCUCCCUGCAAAGAAUUACAAAGGGAUCUCACAAAACGGGCUGACUGGGCAACAAAAUGUCAGAUGAAAUUCGGUGUUGAUAAGUGCAAAGUAAUGCACAUUGGAAAGCAUAAUCCUAACUACACAUACAAAAUGAUGGAGUUUGUAUUCGCUGUUACCCCUCAGGAAAGAGAUCGUGGAGUCAUUGUGGAUAGUUCUCUGAAAACAUCCACUCAGUGUGCAGCGGCAGCCAAAAAAGUGAACAGAAUCAUUGGGAAAGGGAUCGGUAAUAAGACAGAAAAUAUUAUACUGCCACUAUAUAAAUCUCUGGUACGCCCGCAUCUUGAAUACUGUGUGCAGAUCUGGUCACCCCAUCUCAAAAAAUAUAUUAGACUGGGAAAAGGACAACAAACAAUGACUAGGGGUGCGGCACAGCUUUCCUAGGAGGAGAGACGAAUAAGGCUGGGACUGUUCAGUUUAGAGAAGAGAUGAGGACGCGGGGAGGGGAUAGAAUUCUAUAAAAUCAUCAGUGGUUUAGAGACAGCGAUUAAGGAAGGGUUAUUUACCCUUUCACACACCACAAGAACCAGGGGUUACCGGGUAAAAUUAUUAGGCAGCAGGUUUAACCCAAACAAAAGGAAGCACUUCUUCGAACAAUACAGAG
Chelonia mydas (Green sea turtle) is the source of this 1539-nucleotide long non-coding RNA. RefSeq lists it as uncharacterized. The transcript is spliced from 3 exons. The record is from RefSeq and is a predicted model, not a curated record. NCBI's taxonomy places the organism in Eukaryota, Metazoa, Chordata, Testudines, Cheloniidae.